UGCGUAGGUGGGUUGGUAAGUCAGUGGUGAAAUCCCCGAGCUUAACUUGGGAACUGCCAUUGAUACUAUCAGUCUUGAAUACCGUGGAGGUUAGCGGAAUAUGUCAUGUAGCGGUGAAAUGCUUAGAUAUGACAUAGAACACCAAUUGCGAAGGCAGCUGGCUACACGAAUAUUGACACUGAGGCACGAAAGCGGUGGGGAUACAAACA
RNAcentral lists this ribosomal RNA (209 nucleotides) under uncultured bacterium. Its description in RNAcentral is "partial 16S ribosomal RNA". It matches the Rfam family "Bacterial small subunit ribosomal RNA", at positions 568 to 774 of the family's 1533-position model. The record is from RNAcentral.